GUUUUCGUCCACGAUAGUCUCGUCGAAGUCGAAGGAGGAACGUGUCAGCAGGUGGGGUUUCUGCCAGAGUCCGAAGCAAGCGGGCAGCAGGAGAAGCAGUGGGGCUUGGGGAGGUAAGAGCCUCCCGCACCAGGCCAUGACACACCUGGGAGACAGAGUCACCCUCUGGUCUCAUCAACAUCCAGUGGGCAUUUCAGUGGCCCAGGAUCCUUCAAAUUGCAGAUAUAAAGCAUCAGGACCCCACACCUGGGAUGGAAGCUUCUAGGAAUUAAUGAAGCCCCAGUAGAGGUGAGGGUAAACCUAAAACGGGCUGGAUAGGGCCUCUCCCAAGGCCCUAUGGAAAGGUGAUGGGAAACUGGGGGCUGAGGCCUCAUCCUAGGAGACCCCUGGAGGGACCCACUUACCCUAGAUAGGCAGCGGAGGCCAGAAACUGGAAAACAGCCACUCAUUGUCGGUGCAUUACCGUGAGCACCACCUGUAGGGACUCUGUUGGCCUCCAGCCGUCGUCACACGUUCCUGACAACCACAAAAGUUCAUUUGAGGGUGCCCAGUCAGCUGACUUUGCUUCCACCAGGAAUACCCACCUGGCCCUGGUCCUUCUGCUGAGCUACAGGAGGCAUUCCCAGGGUCUUAGCAAAAACAACCCCUCAAAUAGGCCCAGUGCCUACAACUCUAGAGAGGUUUCAGAUGGUAUUGGAGACCCAGAGAAGUUAACUGACUUUCCCAAAAGUCACCCACUGUAAAUGGCAGACAGAUCUCAAACCCACAUCUGAGCCUGAGUCCAGUGUUUUUUCUCUAGUAUCAUCAUUGUCCCUUAAAUGUGUUUGACACAUCAUAGUUUACAAAUCACCUUCACUCAUAUUCUCUCACUACUCAUCAGUCAUGAAUUCAGCCAAUGAGAAGGGCUCAGAGAGGUUAACUAACCAGCCACGCUGUUUACAUGGGGCAUAGACUGCUUCAUGAACGCUUGACUGCAGCUUUGCCUUCCUCAUGCCCUCAAAAAGGAAGGAGCUGACCAAAGCUUACUAUACCAUAGCUGGGGUCUGGGACCCCCAGCCAGGUCUCACAGAUGAUCUGGGAAUGGCCUCCCUGUUGCUCUCAGGGGUCCGGCAGUCACACAGAAGAGUCAGGUUGAAAUCUUGGCAAGACUUUGGUGUGGCUUUGGGAACUGGGUUUAACCUCUUGGGGACUUCACCAAGACAGUGGCAAAGGACACCACCUACAGCUUCCAGUGCCUCUCUACUCUCCCACCUGUGCUCCUGGGGUUGAAUGAGACCAGAAGCAGCUGGGACAAGAUUUGGAAAGAUAAAGAGAGCCAGGAGACAAGACCUUGAGAGAAGCAGAGGUCUGGCUGGCUGCUGCCCUCUGGUGGUGACAAUGGUGACACUGUAAACCCCUCUGUCAAGGUGACACUCUCCCCUGACUAUUCAGGAGGGAGAAGCAAUCGCCCCAGGACAGAGACGGGGACAUCCCAGGAGCAGGGUACAGGCUCUAGCAAUAUCCAUCUUGCGGUACUCCCUCCCUCACAACAACCAGACCACACAUGUGUUAAAUCCUUCUGCAGGGAUGGAAUGCGGCUCUCAGUUUUUUCCAAGAACUUCUAAUCUAGGAAUUAGGAGAGGUGGUCAAAGCUGAAUGAAGCAGUGGGCAAAGAGAGGGUGAGGGAUGGGAGAGAAGACAGGUCAAGGAGGAGGUGGGAGAGAAGGGGAGGGUUGCAUGAGGGACAAGGAAAUGGCAUGGGUUGGAGCUGUCCCCAGUCCCUAUCUGGAGGGACUUCCAACCUUCCAGAUUCCCAGCUGAUAUCACAUGUCCAACCUCAGCCAGGCGAUUUAUAAGAGAAAGGUCAGGGAUGCCACUCCCCUUGUAAAAGCAAACAUGCAGCAUCUGGAGAAGCAAGGGGUAGAUACAAAGAUUCCAAGGGGUCACCAACAGCUACCCAGAGACCAGCUUUCAUCCUAUAGAGAAGGGUCUCAUUACUUUGCCCUUCCUUCCUUCCUGUCUCUCUCCUUCCUUCCUUCCUUCCUUCCUUCCUUCCUUCCUUCCUUCCUUCCUUCCUCCUUCCUUCCUUCCUUCCUUCCUUCCUUUUUUCUAUUCUAUUGAUCAUUAAUUAUGGUCAAAACUUCUCAUUUUUUCAGCCAGGCAGGGUGGCUUAAGCCUGUAAUCCCAACACUUUGGGAGGCGAGGCAGGCAGAUCACUUAAGUCUAGGAGUUUGAGACCAGACUGGGUGACAUGGCAAAACCCUGUCUCUUUAAAAACAAAAAUUAAGGCCGGGCGUGGUGGCUCAUGCCUGUAAUCCCAGCACUUUGGGAGGCCGAGGCAGGCGAAUCACGAGGUCAGAAGAUCGAGACCAUCCUGGCUAACAUGGUGAAACCCUGUCUCUACUAAAAAUACAAAAAAUUAGCUGGGUGUGGUGGCGGGCGCCUGUAGUCCCAGCUACUCGGGAGGCUGAGGCAGGAGAAUGGCGUGAACCCGGGAGGCGGAACUUGCAGUGAGCCGAGAUUGCGCCAUUGCAUUCCAGCCUGGGCGACAGCGAGACUCCGUCUCAAAAAAAAAAAAAAAAAAAAAAAUUAGCUGGGUAUGGUAGCUUGUGCCCAUAGUCCCAGCUACUUGGGAGGCUGAGGCACGAGGAUCACUUAAACCCAGGAGACAGAGGUUGCAGUGAGCUGUAAUGGUACCACUGCACUCCAGCCUGGGUGACAGAGGGAGUAACCCCAUCCCCAACACACACACACACACACACACACACACAAAACUCCUCAUUUCUCAUCAUAAAAUACAGUUACAUUUUUCUGCUAAUAAUAGUAUCUAGGGGAUUCAGUUAAACACUUAUUGUUUGGUGAGUUGCCCUUGUUUCUUUCAGUCUCCAAGGCAGAAAGUCAGGCAUCUUGGGUUUCUUCCCCAGAAAACUGAGAAGGCCAUGCUGUGACACCUCGUCCCCACCCCACAGGAGUCAGAGGAACCCCUUCCCCAGUUGGAAUUUGGCUCCUGUGAUGCUCCAAAAGGAGAGAGAAGGGGACUCACUCCUGAGCUCCAGAACUCCCCCAGUGCCACGCGCGUGAAGGAGCGCCUUCAAACUCCACAGCCCCCACCCCGCGCCGGGACCCCAGCCCUCCCCUAUCUCCCGGAGCCCAGGACUCACGUGGGGGCGGCGGCAGCAGAGGUCUGUCCCGGCUGAGUUUGGAGUGUAAGAAGUGGGGAAG
RNAcentral lists this long non-coding RNA (3201 nucleotides) under Homo sapiens (human). RNAcentral describes it as "HSALNT0242122". The record is from RNAcentral. Lineage: Eukaryota; Metazoa; Chordata; Mammalia; Primates; Hominidae.